Molecule: ribosomal RNA, 253 nt
Filed under: uncultured bacterium
Lineage: Bacteria
Description: partial 16S ribosomal RNA
Rfam family: Bacterial small subunit ribosomal RNA
Source: RNAcentral
UACGGAGGGUGCAAGCGUUAUCCGGAUUCAUUGGGUUUAAAGGGUGCGUAGGCGGAAGUUUAAGUCAGUGGUGAAAUCUUGCGGCUCAACCGUAAAACUGCCAUUGAUACUGAAUUUCUUGAGUAUACUGGAGGUAGGCGGAAUAUGUAGUGUAGCGGUGAAAUGCUUAGAUAUUACAUAGAACACCGAUUGCGAAGGCAGCUUACUAUAGUAUUACUGACGCUGAUGCACGAAAGCGUGGGGAGCGAACAGG